UGCCAGACUCCUACGGGAGGCAGCAGUGGGGGAUAUUGCACAAUGGGGGGAACCCUGAUGCAGCGACGCCGCGUGGGUGAAGGAGCGUUUCGGCGCGUAAAGCCCUAUCGGCAGGGAAGAAGGAGGACGGUACCUGACUAAGAAGCCCCGGCUAACUACGUGCCAGCAGCCGCGGUAAUACGUAGGGGGCAAGCGUUAUCCGGAUUUACUGGGUGUAAAGGGGGCGCAGGCGGCAGCGCAAGCCAGGAGUGAAAGCCCGGGGCCCAACCCCGGGACUGCUCUUGGAACUGCGCGGCUGGAGUGCGGGAGGGGCAGGCGGAAUUCCUGGUGUAGCGGUGAAAUGCUUAGAUAUCACGAAGAACCCCGAUUGCGAAGGCAGCUUACUAAACUGUGACUGACAUUGAUGCUCGAAAGUGUGGGUAUCAAACAGGAUUAGAUACCCUAGUA
Molecule: ribosomal RNA, 447 nt
Filed under: uncultured bacterium
Lineage: Bacteria
Description: bacterial SSU rRNA
Rfam family: Bacterial small subunit ribosomal RNA
Source: RNAcentral